Molecule: ribosomal RNA, 143 nt
Filed under: Termitomyces fuliginosus
Lineage: Eukaryota; Fungi; Basidiomycota; Agaricomycetes; Agaricales; Lyophyllaceae
Description: partial 18S ribosomal RNA
Source: RNAcentral
UGGAAGUAAAAGUCCGUAACAAGGUUUCCGUAGUGAACCUGCGGAAGGAUCAUUAUUGAAUUAAACCCUGGUCGGGUUGUUGCUGGCCUCUUGGGGCAUUUGUGCACGCCUGCCAUCGUUUUCAACCACCUGUGCACCUUUUG